This 81-nucleotide transfer RNA is filed under the name Paragonimus heterotremus. It matches the Rfam family "tRNA". Rfam says of the family: Transfer RNA (tRNA) molecules are approximately 80 nucleotides in length. Their secondary structure includes four short double-helical elements and three loops (D, anti-codon, and T loops). Lineage: Eukaryota; Metazoa; Platyhelminthes; Trematoda; Plagiorchiida; Troglotrematidae. The record is from Rfam by way of RNAcentral.
GGCUUUGUAGCCCAGCUGGUAGAGCGGUUGCCGCGUUGAGGCAUAGUGUUUCUGUCGUUGGUUCGAAUCCAGCCGAAGCCC